This 484-nucleotide transfer RNA is filed under the name Phormidium sp. YACCYB343. RNAcentral's name for it is "partial may contain 16S-23S ribosomal RNA intergenic spacer". The stretch from base 159 to 231 matches the Rfam family "tRNA". The record is from RNAcentral. Lineage: Bacteria; Bacillati; Cyanobacteriota; Cyanophyceae; Oscillatoriales; Oscillatoriaceae.
UUGAGGUCAUACCUAGGUCGAACGAGAUUGGAAAAAAGGCUUUCAAACUAUUCUCAGGUUGGGUCAAUGGGCUAUUAGCUCAGGUGGUUAGAGCGCACCCCUGAUAAGGGUGAGGUCCCUGGUUCAAGUCCAGGAUGGCCCACCUCCCUAAAAAACCAGGGGGUAUAGCUCAGUUGGUAGAGCGCUGUCCUUGCACGGCAGAUGUCAGCGGUUCGAGUCCGCUUACCUCCACCAAACUAAUAAAAAAGAAAUAAGUAGUUAAUCAUUGUCAACGCCAAAAGAGAAUGAUAGACUAGAAAGAGUGAAAAAAAUGAGUCAGCACCUUGAGUGGGAAAAAAACCACAAAGAAUGCUGGUUACAUAAACCAGUCAGAACCUAGAAAACUGCAUAGAAAAGAGAGAAACAGGAAAAAAUAGCAGGUAGAAACCAUCAAAUGUUUGUAAAGCAUUCAGGUCAAGCUAUCAAGAGCUAACGGUGGAUACCU